RNAcentral lists this ribosomal RNA (705 nucleotides) under uncultured Gammaproteobacteria bacterium. RNAcentral describes it as "bacterial SSU rRNA". It matches the Rfam family "Bacterial small subunit ribosomal RNA", at positions 31 to 728 of the family's 1533-position model. Lineage: Bacteria; Pseudomonadati; Pseudomonadota; Gammaproteobacteria. The record is from RNAcentral.
UGACGUUGGCGGCACGCUUUAACUGCAGUCUAGCGGAAACGAUACUUCGGGCAGGCGUCCUAGCGGCGGACGGGUGAGUAACGCGUAGGAAUCUACCCAGUAGCGGGGGAUAGCCCGGGGAAACUCGGAUUAAUACCGCAUACGCCCUAUGGGGGAAAGAUGGCCUCUUCUUGAAAGCUAUCGCUAUUGGAGGAGCCUGCGUUGGAUUAGCUAGUUGGUGGGGUAAAGGCCUACCAAGGCGACGAUCCAUAGCUGGUCUGAGAGGACGAUCAGCCACACUGGGACUGAGACACGGCCCAGACUCCUACGGGAGGCAGCAGUCGGGAAUAUUGGACAAUGGGCGCAAGCCUGAUCCAGCCAUGCCGCGUGUGUGAAGAAGGCCUUAGGGUUGUAAAGCACUUUCAGGAGUGAAGAAAGGCGUUGGGUGAAUAAUCUGACGUUUUGACGUUAGCUCCAGAAGAAGCACCGGCUAACUCCGUGCCAGCAGCCGCGGUAAUACAGAGGGUGCAAGCGUUAAUCGGAAUUACUGGGCGUAAAGCGUGCGUAGACGGUUCAUUUAAGUCAGAUGUGAAAUCCCCGGGCUCAACCUGGGAAUUGCAUUUGAGACUGAAUAGCUAGGGUGUGGAAGAGGGAAGCGGAAUUUCCGGUGUAACCGGUGAAAUGCGUAGAUAUCGGAAGGAACCAUCAGUGGCGAAAGACGGCUUU